GGUUGUGGCUCAGUGGUAGAGUGUUUGCCUAGAACGGAUGAGGCACUGGGUUGGAUCCUCAGCACCA
Molecule: transfer RNA, 67 nt
Filed under: Marmota monax (woodchuck)
Lineage: Eukaryota; Metazoa; Chordata; Mammalia; Rodentia; Sciuridae
Description: tRNA.Ser
Source: RNAcentral